This 115-nucleotide ribosomal RNA is filed under the name Pteropus alecto (black flying fox). The record is from RNAcentral. Lineage: Eukaryota; Metazoa; Chordata; Mammalia; Chiroptera; Pteropodidae.
AACUACUGGUCACCCUGGACAAGCCCGAUCUUGUCUGAUCUUGGAAGCUAAGCGGGGUCGGGCCUGGUUAGUGCUUGGAUGGGAGACCACCUAGGAAGACCAGGUGCCGUAGGCA